GUAGGGAAUAUUGGGCAAUGGAGGCAACUCUGACCCAGCCAUGCCGCGUGCAGGAAGACGGUCCUCUGGAUUGUAAACUGCUUUUGAAUGGGAAGAAACGUAGCUUUGCGAAGCUAUUUGACGGUACUAUUAGAAUAAGCACCGGCUAACUCCGUGCCAGCAGCCGCGGUAAUACGGAGGGUGCAAGCGUUAUCCGUAUUUAUUGGGUUUAAAGGGUGCGUAGGCGGCUUUAUAAGUCUGGGGUUAAAGGCGGCAGCUUAACUGUACGCAUGCCCUGGGAACUGUGAAGCUUGAGUGACUUGGAGGUAGCUAGAAUUCCCUGUGUAGCGGUGAAAUGCAUAGAUACGGGGAGGAAUACCGAUUGCGAAGGCAUGUUACUACGAGUAAACUGACGCUGAUGCACGAAAGCGUGGGGAUCAAACAGGAUUAGAUACCCUAGUAGUCC
This 445-nucleotide ribosomal RNA is filed under the name uncultured bacterium. RNAcentral describes it as "partial 16S ribosomal RNA". It matches the Rfam family "Bacterial small subunit ribosomal RNA", at positions 354 to 796 of the family's 1533-position model. The record is from RNAcentral.